GUUAAUCUCUUGUUUUCACCAGUUAACGUAAACUGAACCAAGGGCUGCUCGGCAACCUGCACAAUAUGGCAGCUAGCUCUACAACUUAGCUGUUGCAGUGCUAACAGCUAGCUACAAUUCAGCGUUACUUGAUGGUUGGUCACAAACAGGAGGGAGGAGUCAGUCAUCAGGAUGGAGGUUAUAGAGGAAAAUAUGUCACAAAUGGAGAUGCUUGAGAAAAUAGCUGAGCUGGAUUACAGUCAGAGCCAGCUGAAGGAUCUGAAUACUGAGAUGAGACGUUGGCUGGAGUUUGCGGACGAUGACAUGGCCGUGCUGCGCUCAGAGAAUUCAGCCCUCACAAAACAAGUUAAAGCGCUGGAGAAGAUGAUGGCUGAAGCACAACAGGUUGAAGCAGAGCCUUGCAGGUCUUUCAUGGCUGAUGACCUUGAUGCAAAUAGAUGCAGAGAAAACAAGAUUCAGAAAUUGGAGAAGGAAUCCAUCAUAAUGACAGAAGAAAAUAAGAUGCUAACUGCAGAGCUCAAAGACCUCCAGCAAAAAAGAGACCAGGACAAGAUCAGCUUAAGUAAGCUCAGCGUUGCACUUCAAAACUUUGAGUUAGAAAAGGAAGAGGCUCAGUUAGAGCUGCAGCGUAGGGAUGAGAUUAUUCAUCAGAGAAACUUGCAGUUAAAGCAUUUGAAUGAAACUGUUGAAGAGAGUGCCAACAUCAUGAAGGACCUCAGGCUGACAAACCAGGAGCUGAGGAAGCAGAUAGAGGGCAGACGAGACGAGGCCUAUUUUGACAGUCUGACUGACAGGAUGAGAGAAAACGAAGGAUCGGUUAUUCCCCCUCCGUCUUUAGCUGAGGAAAUAUGGCAGGCCUCAUCCCCUGAAGUGAAACCCUUCAUGACGUACUCCACAGAGCUCAGACAUGAGGAAGGUGAAGCUGAGGAGCUGCUGAAACCUCGUAGUGUCACAGCUGACUUUCAGACCAAAAGAUGUGCAGAUACUUCAAAGACAUCCGUCCAGAAAACAGGGCUGUUCACUGUGUGCAUCUUCAUUCUCACUGUUUUGGCCUUCUUGGCUUCAGGAAGUUGUUCAGGAAACGGUGACUUUUUUUCUAUCAACUCAUUGUGGAACAGUGCGUGCCUGAUGUUUCAUCCCUACUGCCGCAUCCACUACGGGGCCUUACCUCCCAUUUGACCUAAACACUCCCUCUCAUAAACAUGUCACGACUCUAUUAAUGUGCCUGAUUGUGGGUUGCUUUUGUGGUUGGCUUUGUUUUGUACACACAAGAAUGAAGGUUUUAUUUAAAAUACUUGAAUUUCUACAUGUGACUAGUUUGGCAAACUACAUUAACUAACCAGAGAAUAAUAAAAUGUCAAAUGACUAGUGACCAAUGUUCCCUCUAAUUUUCCAUGAGUCUGAGCAAACACACAAACUCCCUGAGCGUCCCUUGGACCACUGUGAGCAACAUCAGACGUGUGCACUGUGGUCACACCAGCAUCACAUCCAUUCAAG
Molecule: long non-coding RNA, 1497 nt
Organism: Amphiprion ocellaris (clown anemonefish)
Lineage: Eukaryota; Metazoa; Chordata; Actinopteri; Pomacentridae
Source: Ensembl